Zingiber officinale is the source of this 195-nucleotide long non-coding RNA. RefSeq lists it as uncharacterized. Lineage: Eukaryota; Viridiplantae; Streptophyta; Magnoliopsida; Zingiberales; Zingiberaceae. The transcript is spliced from 3 exons. The record is from RefSeq and is a predicted model, not a curated record.
GGCUACCUUUCUCUGGUAGCAACAUCCCUGCUGUGGGUGAGUGUAGGGGAAUCUUGAAGAGAAGUGUUUACUGUAAGUUUUCUUGGAUUUGGCAGCUACUUUCAUCCAGCAGCAAGGAACCGCUGUGGAGGUUAAGAUAAAGGAAAGGAAAAGCUAUAGCAAAGGAAGGCGACAAGGAGGUGUUAGAUGAUGUGU